UACGUAGGUGGCAAGCGUUAUCCGGAAUUAUUGGGCGUAAAGAGCGCGCAGGUGGUUAAUUAAGUCUGAUGUGAAAGCCCACGGCUUAACCGUGGAGGGUCAUUGGAAACUGGUUGACUUGAGUGCAGAAGAGGGAAGUGGAAUUCCAUGUGUAGCGGUGAAAUGCGUAGAGAAAUGGAGGAACACCAGUGGCGAAGGCGGCUUCCUGGUCUGCAACUGACACUGAGGCGCGAAAGCGUGGGGAGCAAACAGG
RNAcentral lists this ribosomal RNA (253 nucleotides) under uncultured bacterium. RNAcentral describes it as "partial 16S ribosomal RNA". It matches the Rfam family "Bacterial small subunit ribosomal RNA", at positions 524 to 776 of the family's 1533-position model. The record is from RNAcentral.